GAUGAACGCUGGCGGCGUGCUUAACACAUGCAAGUCGAACGGAAAGGCCCAAGCUUGCUUGGUUACUCAAGUGGCGAACGGGUGAGUAACAAGUGGGUGAUCUGCCCUCCACUUCGGGAUAAGCCUGUGAAACUGGGUCUAACACCGGAUAGGACCACGUCUUUGAUGUUGUGGUGGAAAGUUUUUUCGGGUUGGGAUGAGCUGGCGGCCUAUCAGCUUGUUGGUGGGGUAAUGGCCUACCAAGGCGUCGACGGGUAGCCGGCCUGAGAGGGUGUACGGCCACAUUGGGACUGAGAUGCGGCACAGACUCCUAAGGGAGGCCGAAGUGCGGAAUCUUGCCCAAGGGGCGCAAGGCUGAUGAAGAGACGCCGCGUGGGGGAUGACGGCCUUCGGGUUGUAAACUCCUUUCGCUAGAGCCGAAGCGGUUUGUGACGGUACCUGGCGAAGAAGCAACGGCUAACUACGUG
Molecule: ribosomal RNA, 467 nt
Filed under: uncultured bacterium
Lineage: Bacteria
Description: partial 16S ribosomal RNA
Rfam family: Bacterial small subunit ribosomal RNA
Source: RNAcentral